AACGAACGCUGGCGGCAUGCCUAACACAUGCAAGUCGAACGAGACCUUCGGGUCUAGUUGCGCACGGGUGCGUAACGCGUUGGAACCUGCCCUUAGGUUCGGAAUAACUCCCCGAAAGGGGUUCUAAUACCGGAUAAUGUCUUCGGACCAAAGAUUUAUCGCCUUUGGAUGGGCCCGCGUUGGAUUAGCUAGUUGGUAGGGUAAAAGCCUACCAAGGCGACGAUCCAUAGCUGGUCUGAGAGGAUGAUCAGCCACACUGGGACUGAGACACGGCCCAGACUCCUACGGGAGGCAGCCGUGGGGAAUAUUGGACAAUGGGCGAAAGCCUGAUCCAGCAAUGCCGCGUGAGUGAUGAAGGCCUUAGGGUUGUAAAGCUCUUUUAACCGGGAGGAUAAUGACAGUACCGGGAGAAUAAGCUCCGGCUAACUCCGUG
This 433-nucleotide ribosomal RNA is filed under the name uncultured bacterium. RNAcentral describes it as "partial 16S ribosomal RNA". It matches the Rfam family "Bacterial small subunit ribosomal RNA", at positions 29 to 507 of the family's 1533-position model. The record is from RNAcentral.